UCCCUUCCGUCCCUUCCGUCCCUUCCCUUCCUUCCGCCAUUUUGCUGUCUUGUAAAUUGAUUUGGCUUUUCACAUAGUGGGAAUUUUUUUCAAGGGGAAACCUAUCUGUGUUUACAUAGUGGAAGGAUGAUACACUGGUCUGGGGACUAUGUUGGCUGUCGUGUCAUGCCUAAAGUGUAGGCCUGUGUAGGUCGUCCCCUCCCUUCAUGGAUAAAACAACUACUAGUUAUCAGUAAGUGCCAGCCUCAUACUACGGCUCCUACCCUGAAGGAGUUCACCGUCCAGUGAGAGAACGGAUAGUGAUCAGACUUCAUUCCUGAGGCUCACCCUUAAUCAACUUGAACGAGGGGCCCCAUAUGUUCCUUUUUACUGGGCCAUGCAAAUUACUGUGGGUUACAUUAAUGCUCAUCUGGAAACCUUUUACCAGUCUCCUCUGUUAGGGUACUGGUUCCCAGCGCAGAGCUUCUGUGAUUACCAGAAGAACACUGAAGGAGUCUUCUUGUCUGUCUGGAGCCAGCUGAGAUGGCCCUGAGAUCCACAGAGCCUCCUCCACGCCCCUGGAUGGAGGCGCUCCUGCUCUUCCACCCUUUGUAUCUCUCACUUGGCACCCAUUCCCGUAAUUAAUCACAAACUCCGUCUGAGCUAUUCCUUUCUAAGCCAUGCCCUCUGUACUCUGACUUGCCCCAAAUAGACAGAUGCUCAAUAAAUAUUUGCUGAUUGGCUGGAAAGCAAACAGAGCUAUCA
RNAcentral lists this long non-coding RNA (744 nucleotides) under Homo sapiens (human). Its description in RNAcentral is "HSALNT0366023". The record is from RNAcentral. Lineage: Eukaryota; Metazoa; Chordata; Mammalia; Primates; Hominidae.